RNAcentral lists this ribosomal RNA (1377 nucleotides) under human gut metagenome. RNAcentral describes it as "bacterial LSU rRNA". It matches the Rfam family "Bacterial large subunit ribosomal RNA", at positions 1101 to 2497 of the family's 2925-position model. The record is from RNAcentral.
UUGGCUUGGAAGCAGCCAUUCAUUCAAAGAGUGCGUAACAGCUCACUAGUCGAGGGACUGUGCAUGGAUAAUAAUCGGGUAUGAAACCCAUUGCCGAAGCCGCGGGACACUUUAUGUGUCGGUAGGGGAGCAUUCCAGCCGCGCUGAAGCCGUGAGGACGACUCACGGUGGAGCAUCUGGAAAAGCAAAUGUAGGUAUAAGUAACGAUAAAGAGUGUGAGAUGCACUCUCGCCGUAAGACUAAGGUUUCCCGGGCAACGUUAAUCGGCCCGGGGUCAGUCGGGACCUAAGGAUAAGCCGAAAGGCGAGGCCGAUGGCAGAAAGGGUUAAUAUUCCCUUACUACCUUUAUGGGCGAUGCGGAGACGGAGAAGUGAAACUCCCGCGCGCUGACGGAAUAGCGCGUUAAAGGGUGUAGGCGCUGAUCGCGGCAGGCAAAUCCACCGCGAGAGCCGAACCUGACAGUACACAAAGCCUUCGGGCGGCGUGACAGCGGAGGUAAGCAAGCUCCCGAGAAAAUCCGCUAAGCUCAACCAUAGAGGUACCCGUACCGCAAACGGACACACGUAGUCGGGUAGAAUAUACCAAGGCGCUUGGAAGAUUCACGGUUAAGGAACUAGGCAAAUUGACCCCGUAACUUCGGAAUAAGGGGUCCUCACGCGAGUGAGGCGCAGAGAAUAGGUCCAGGCAACUGUUUAACAAAAACACAGGGCUGUGCGAAAUCGAAAGAUGAGGUAUACAGUCUGACACCUGCCCGGUGCCGGAAGGUUAAGAGGAGAUGUCACCGCAAGGGAAGCAUCGAAUUGAAGCCCCGGUAAACGGCGGCCGUAACUAUAACGGUCCUAAGGUAGCGAAAUUCCUUGUCGGGUAAGUUCCGACCUGCACGAAUGGUGUAAUGAUCCGGACGCUGUCUCAACCGUGAGCUCAGUGAAAUUGUAGUAUCGGUGAAGAUGCCGAUUACCCGCGAUGGGACGAAAAGACCCCGUGAACCUUUACUGCAGCUUAACGUUGUGACCGGGCAGCGGAUGUGUAGGAUAGGCCGGAGGCUAUGAAGGGGGCACGCCAGUGUUCUUGGAGCCGCCGUUGAAAUACGGCCCUUCCUCUGUCUGGUUCCUAACCCGCGAUAUGCGGGGACACCGUUUGGCGGGCAGUUUGACUGGGGUGGUCGCCUCCAAAAGCGUAACGGAGGCUUCUAAAGGUGCCCUCAGGCCGAUUGGUAACCGGCCGCAGAGUGUAAUGGCAAAAGGGCGCUUGACUGGGAGGCCGACAAGCCGAUCAGGUGGGAAACCAGAGCAUAGUGAUCCGGUGGUUCCGUAUGGAAGGGCCAUCGCUCAAAGGAUAAAAGGUACUCCGGGGAUAACAGGCUGAUCCCUCCCAAGA